Molecule: ribosomal RNA, 180 nt
Filed under: Listeria monocytogenes
Lineage: Bacteria; Bacillati; Bacillota; Bacilli; Caryophanales; Listeriaceae
Description: partial 16S ribosomal RNA
Rfam family: Bacterial small subunit ribosomal RNA
Source: RNAcentral
UUUAAAGAGAGUUUGAUCCUGGCUCAGGACGAACGCUGGCGGCGUGCCUAAUACAUGCAAGUCGAACGAACGGAGGAAGAGCUUGCUCUUCCAAUGUUAGUGGCGGACGGGUGAGUAACACGUGGGCAACCUGCCUGUAAGUUGGGGAUAACUCCGGGAAACCGGGGCUAAUACCGAAUG